UCAAACUAGAGGACUUAGGUCUUUGCCUGCUAUCUUACCCAUGUCUUUUGAGUACCGAAUUCGUUUCCUCGGCGGGCCUGCCUGCCGGAUUGGACAUUAUAAAACCAUUUUGCUAGUUGCAAUCAGCGUCAUGAAAAAACUAUAAUAGUUA
This 151-nucleotide unclassified non-coding RNA is filed under the name soil metagenome. RNAcentral's name for it is "partial internal transcribed spacer 1". The record is from RNAcentral.